CCUUAGAGUUUGAUCCUGGCUCAGGAUGAACGCUGGCGGCGUGCCUAAUACAUGCAAGUCGAACGAAUCUCUUUUAGAGAUGAGUGGCGAACGGGUGAGUAAUACAUAGGUAACCUGCCCCUGUGCGGGGGAUAACAGGAGGAAACUCCUGCUAAUACCGCAUAGCCAUGAGCACCGCAUGGAGCUCAUGCCAAAUAUCCUUUCGGGGAUAGCACAGGGAUGGACCUAUGGCGCAUUAGCUUGUUGGCGGGGCAACGGCCCACCAAGGCAACGAUGCGUAGCCGGCCUGAGAGGGCGGACGGCCACAUUGGGACUGAGACACGGCCCAGACUCCUACGGGAGGCAGCAGUAGGGAAUUUUCGGCAAUGGGGGAAACCCUGACCGAGCAACGCCGCGUGAGCGAAGAAGGCCUUCGGGUCGUAAAGCUCUGUUGUAAAGGAAGAACGGCGCAUACAGGAAAUGGUAUGCGAGUGACGGUACUUUACCAGAAAGCCACGGCUAACUACGUGCCAGCAGCCGCGGUAAUACGUAGGUGGCGAGCGUUAUCCGGAAUCAUUGGGCGUAAAGAGGGAGCAGGCGGCCGCAAGGGUCUGUGGUGAAAGACCGAAGCUAAACUUCGGUAAGCCAUGGAAACCGGGCGGCUAGAGUGCGGAAGAGGAUCGUGGAAUUCCAUGUGUAGCGGUGAAAUGCGUAGAUAUAUGGAGGAGCACCAGUGGCGAAGGCGACGGUCUGGGCCGCAACUGACGCUCAUUCCCGAAAGCGUGGGGAGCAAAUAGGAUUAGAUACCCUAGUAGUCCACGCCGUAAACGAUGGUCACUAAGUGUCGGGGGUCAAACCCCGGUGCUGCAGUCAACGCAAUAAGUGACCCGCCUGAGUAGUACGUUCGCAAGAA
RNAcentral lists this ribosomal RNA (892 nucleotides) under uncultured bacterium. Its description in RNAcentral is "bacterial SSU rRNA". It matches the Rfam family "Bacterial small subunit ribosomal RNA", at positions 1 to 894 of the family's 1533-position model. The record is from RNAcentral.